RNAcentral lists this ribosomal RNA (253 nucleotides) under uncultured bacterium. RNAcentral describes it as "partial 16S ribosomal RNA". It matches the Rfam family "Bacterial small subunit ribosomal RNA", at positions 524 to 776 of the family's 1533-position model. The record is from RNAcentral.
UACGUAGGGUGCAAGCGUUGUCCGGAAUCAUUGGGCGUAAAGCGCGUGUAGGCGGCCAGAAAAGUCCGCUGUGAAAACUCGAGGCUCAACUUCGAGCUGUCGGUGGAAACUUUCUGGCUAGAGUCCGGAAGAGGAGAAUGGAAUUCCUGGUGUAGCGGUGAAAUGCGCAGAUAUCAGGAAGAACACCAAUGGCGAAAGCAGCUUUCUGGGACGGUACUGACGCUGAGACGCGAAAGCGUGGGGAGCGAACAGG